Molecule: ribosomal RNA, 514 nt
Filed under: uncultured bacterium
Lineage: Bacteria
Description: partial 16S ribosomal RNA
Rfam family: Bacterial small subunit ribosomal RNA
Source: RNAcentral
GACGAACGCUGGCGGCGUGCCUAAUACAUGCAAGUCGAGCGGACCUUUUAAAAGCUUGCUUUUGAAAGGUCAGCGGCGGACGGGUGAGUAACACGUGGGCAACCUGCCUGUAAGACUGGGAUAACUUCGGGAAACCGGAGCUAAUACCGGAUAAUAUAAGGAACCUCCUGGUUCUUUAUUGAAAGAUGGUUUCGGCUAUCACUUACAGAUGGGCCCGCGGCGCAUUAGCUAGUUGGUGAGGUAAUGGCUCACCAAGGCGACGAUGCGUAGCCGACCUGAGAGGGUGAUCGGCCACACUGGGACUGAGACACGGCCCAGACUCCUACGGGAGGCAGCAGUAGGGAAUCUUCCACAAUGGACGAAAGUCUGAUGGAGCAACGCCGCGUGAGCGAUGAAGGCCUUCGGGUCGUAAAGCUCUGUUGUUAGGGAAGAACAAGUGCGAGAGUAACUGCUCGCACCUUGACGGUACCUAACCAGAAAGCCACGGCUAACUACGUGCCAGCCGCCGCGGUAA